Molecule: unclassified non-coding RNA, 336 nt
Filed under: soil metagenome
Description: partial contains 5.8S ribosomal RNA, internal transcribed spacer 2, and large subunit ribosomal RNA
Rfam family: 5.8S ribosomal RNA (bases 1-120)
Source: RNAcentral
GAUGAAGAACGCAGCGAAACGCGAUAUGUAAUGUGAAUUGCAGAAUUCAGUGAAUCAUCGAAUCUUUGAACGCACAUUGCGCCCCCUGGUAUUCCGGGGGGCAUGCCUGUCCGAGCGUCAUUGCAACCUUCAAGCGCGGCUUGUGUGUUGGGUCUCGUCCCCCGUGGACGGGCCCGAAAGGCAGUGGCGGCGUCCCGACAUGGUGCCCGAGCGUAUGGGAAUCCUCUUCCGCUCGAAUCGGCCCAUGCGGCGCUGGUCGUAACCAAAUUUUUUACCGGUUGACCUCGGAUCAGGUAGGGAUACCCGCUGAACUUAAGCAUAUCAAUAAGCGGAGGA